AGCAAGCACCGGCUAACUCCGUGCCAGCAGCCGCGGUAAUACGGAGGGUGCAAGCGUUACUCGGAAUCACUGGGCGUAAAGCGCGCGCAGGCGGCCAUUUAAGUUGGAUGUGAAAGCCUACGGCUCAACCGUAGAACUGCAUCCAAAACUAUUUGGCUAGAGUGUGGGAGAGGAAGAUGGAAUUAGUUGUGUAGGGGUAAAAUCCGUAGAGAUAACUAGGAAUACCAAAAGCGAAGGCAAUCUUCUGGAACAUUACUGACGCUGAGGCGCGAAAGCGUGGGGAGCAAACAGGAUUAGAUACCCUGGUAGUCCACGCCCUAAACGAUGAAUGUUAGUCGUCGGGUAGCUAGUCUAUUCGGUGAUGCAGCUAACGCAUUAAACAUUCCGCCUGGGGAGUACGGUCGCAAGAUUAAAACUCAAAGGAAUAGACGGGGACCCGCACAAGUGGUGGAGCAUGUGGUUUAAUUCGAAGAUACGCGAAGAACCUUACCUAGCCUUGACAUAUUUAAGAAUCCGAUAGAGAUAUUGGAGUGCCUUCGGGAGCUUUCUUACAGGUGCUGCACGGCUGUCGUCAGCUCGUGUCGUGAGAUGUUGAGUUAAGUCCCGCAACGAGCGCAACCCUCGUCACUAGUUACUAACGGUUCGGCCGAGGACUCUAGUGAGACUGCCUUCGUAAGGAGGAGGAAGGUGAGGACGACGUCAAGUCAUCACGGCCCUUACGGCUAGGGCAACACACGUGCUACAAUGGCCAGGACAGUGAGACGCGAUACCGUGAGGUGGAGCAAAUCUAUAAACCUGGUCUCAGUUCGGAUUGUAGUCUGCAACUCGACUACAUGAAGCUGGAAUCACUAGUAAUCGUAGAUCAGCUAU
RNAcentral lists this ribosomal RNA (870 nucleotides) under uncultured bacterium. Its description in RNAcentral is "bacterial SSU rRNA". It matches the Rfam family "Bacterial small subunit ribosomal RNA", at positions 485 to 1356 of the family's 1533-position model. The record is from RNAcentral.